Long non-coding RNA from Limulus polyphemus (Atlantic horseshoe crab), 3960 nucleotides. RefSeq lists it as uncharacterized. The transcript has 2 exons. The record is from RefSeq and is a predicted model, not a curated record. NCBI's taxonomy places the organism in Eukaryota, Metazoa, Arthropoda, Merostomata, Xiphosura, Limulidae.
UUACAAAUGAGUUUUAGGCCUAUGGCGGAAUGAGUGAGAAGCUGGAACCAGAGCUCCACAACCAUGUGAUGCUUUAGUUUGAAAAUGGUGACCAGUGAAAGUGAGGCUUGGUCUAUAUUAAGCAAUGUACCAUUAUUUUAGUAAAAUAGUGUCGUGUAUGUGGAGAUACGACAGUCACUGUGUACUGUUUAAAUUGGAUACAGUCACACCUUAUUAUCUGACAGUCACUUAAGAUAGCAAUUUUUUCUCUUCUACACGAUUAUUUUCUAUUCCAAGUUCUCAUGUUAAGUGAAAGUGACAGAUUCUGCAGUGGUGCUAAAUAUCUGUGUUAUAUGUGCUGAUUGAUUAAAGUGUUGAGUGUGACAACAACCAAAAUGCUCAGUUGUCUCUCGUUGUGUGUUUUAAUUAAAAUAAACAGUUAGGAACGUCUUUAUUCUUGUUUAAGGUGUAACAAUAUCUAAUCUUUGCUCUUGAGAACAACUGGGAUUAUACAAGUUUUAAUCAGGAGUUUUACCUAUGUUGUGCUUGCUUCAGACCACCGCAAAAGAAAACUUUCCAGUAGAUGGCCCGGAGUUAUCAUCUGUCUUGUCACUGCCAACUCUCAUCAUCAGAGAAACCUAGACCUUAUCUUCUCAAAACCUUGCUCUGACUUUUCUGAGCAGCAACCUACAAAAAGUAUCUGAAAAUUGUUUUCCAUUGCUUAAUUAUAAUCAGUGGACUUCCAGAUUUUUUCAGAUGUGUUCUUCAAGAUUAUCUCCAAAUUUAUGUUAUUUUCUCUGAUCUUGAAAGUCAACUUCUAUUCUGUCUUGAGGAAUGAGAAUCUGAAGACUACCAUGAGUGAAAUUAACAAUGAUAUUCUAAGUUCUGUUCUGAACACAUAACUAGUUUUCAAAGUUUUUUAAAAAUCUAUGCAGUCUGUAUCAUUAGCUCAGGAAUUGGACACUUUUAUGACUUAGAAACGAAACAGUCAUUGAAUCUGUGUUAAAGUUGAAUCUCCAUGAUUGAAUGUUCUAUUAUUUUGCAUGCAAAAGUGAAUCAGCAUUUUUUUUUAUUGUUUCAUCAUCUGAAAAAGAAAUCAGUGUGAGGUUUGAAGUGUGAACGGUCUAAAUAUUUCAUUUAUUUUACGUGUACUUGUGAAAGUAAUCCACUUUCCUGUGGUAUUUUUUACCAUCUGAUUCACCUUUUAAAAAUAUUCUUUCCUCAUUUUCUAUUCACCUUCAGUAUUUAUUAAUAUCCUGUUUCAUCUUCACAUUCAAGAACAUAGAUCACACAUUGAAUUUUUCAGCAUCCCAGUAUUUAUAAUGCAAGUAGAACUUUCAAUUUCAGAAGCUACUGUUACAGCACGUCAUUGUGAAUGUGCAGUGUGAAAAACAUCGGAUUUUUUUUUUAUUCCAAGUUUCUGUAACAAACUUAACAUCUGUGCAGAACUGCUUUUUCAAAAUUAGCAUUAGAUUUGUGAAAUUCAGUGAGACGUGCACGUAGGUUAUACCAUUGACAAUUUCUUCAUCUAUAUCUUUUGUCUUUGCAAAUGUGAAACUAAGAGUGCUGGUGAUGGUUGUUCCAGGUUGUGAAUUUCAGUAUUUCACUUGAAAAAGAUUUAUGAGAAUCUUCAGUAUGGAUAAUAGUGACAGCUCUGUGCCAAGAUGUUACAUCAAAGUGAGUGAGUACUAAAACAAAGAAAGCUAUUACAACUGUUACCAGAGUAUGUGUUCAGUUAUUUGUUAAAAGGUUUUUGAAAAUUUCAAUGUUUCAACAUUGUUAGUGUUAUACAAACCAACAGCUUACUUGCAAGUGAUUGUUUUGUCUGUCUGCUGCACAGUGCAGGUAUUACAGAUGCUCGUGUCUGGCUGCCUCACCAGUAUUAGUCUUGUGAAAAACCAUCAGUGCAGAUCCUUGUGUGUAACUGCCUCACCAGCUUUGUGUUCUAAAAAUCAACAGUGCAUAUGAUACAGAUCCUCGUGUCUGGCUUCAUCACCACAUUAGUUUUGUGAAAAUCAACAGUGUAUAUAAUAUAGAUCCUCGUGUCUGGCUGCAUCACCACAUUAAUGUUUUGAAAAUCAACAGUGUAUAUAAUAUAGAUCCUCGUGUCUGGCUGCAUCACCAAAUUAAUGUUAUGAAAAUCAACAGUGUAGGUCAUACAAAACCUCUUGUCUAGCUUCAUCAUUACAUUAGUGCUGUGAAAAUCAACAGUGCAUGUGAUACAAAUCCUUUUGUGUGGCUUCAUCACUAGGUUAGUGUUAUGAAAACCAACAUUAAAGGUGAUACAGAUCCUCAUCCAUGUACUUCACCAGUGUUAGUCGUGUAAAAAUCAACAUUACGAGUGAUACAGAUCCUCAUGUCUGACUGCUUCAUCAGAUUAGUGUUAUGAAAAUCAACAGUACCAGUGAUAUAAAUCCUCAUUUCAACAGAACAGGUGAUACAGAUCCUUAUGUCAACAGUACAGGUGUUAGUGUUAAUAAACCCAACAAUGCAGGUGGUAUUGAUUGUGCUGUAUCGGUAUCUUGCCAGUGUUAGUGUUAUGAAAACCAUCAGUGCAAGUGAUACAGAUCUUACAUACUGGAUGUGUUGCCAGAGUUUAUGAAAAAUAUCAGUGCAGGUUAUAUUGAUUCUUGAGUCGAAAUGUCCCACCACUGUUAUUCUUGUGAAAACCAACAGUGUAGGUGAUUGUUGUAUUGAUAUUUAUUUCCAGGUGUUUUGCCACCCUUCAUGUUAUGAAAGUUAACAGUGUAGGUGAUGAUAGUCAUUUGUCCUCCAGAUGAUUCACCAUUUGUAUGGAAACCAACAGUGGAGAUGAUGAUGAUCUCUGUAUCCAGAUAGCUCACUGUUUUCAAAACUAACUAUGUAGAAUAUUGUUAUAUUGAUAUUUAUGCCCAUGUCUUUUACCAGUAGCAGUGUUAUGAAAGCAAACAGUAAUGGUGAUAGUUACAACACUCAGUGAAUGUCAGACAGGGUUUGAGAGUGAUUUGGCAAGGUUUGGUGACCUCUACAGAAGUAAGAAGAAGCAUCUCAAUUUUAAGGAGAAAAAAAAAGUAAUUUUUGUGUCUUUGUUUAACUUAAUCAUUUAGAAAAGACUGGAUUUGUAGAAAUUGUGAAUUUAGUUCUGCAUUGAAUGUUAUGCGUGUGUGUGUGUGUAUGUAUGUAUAUAUAUGUGGGGGGUUGUGCAGUUUAUUGAAAAUGAAUUAUAUUUGUUGUUGUGAUGAAGAAAACUAUUGAAGUAAGAAAUAAAAAAUUAAGAACUUAAAAAUGAUAUAAAUCUCGUGUAGAAAAUAAUUGGUUUGAAAGUACAGUUAAAUAUUAAAAGAAUAUUUUGUUGUUAGGGGAAUUGUUUUUAGUUCUGUCACAACAAUGUCAACAACUUGUUUUGAUUUACGUAUUAAUCCAAUGUUAUUGGUAAACUGAACCUUGUAAAACAAAAUAAUAUAAUACAGUAGUGAAAUGGUUUGUUAUUAGCUGAGAGUUUGGUGGGAAAGAGAAUUUGAUAAUGAUCGAGAUGUAGAAAUUUGCACAGCACGCAUGGUUGUUGGAGCUCCUUUUCAAAUUUCCUACAAAGAUUUAUACUCCAAAGACUGAGUAAUCUUUUAGAAGAGCAGCAUACUUAGACUCAUGUUGAUUUUGUAUAUGAAUUUCUUCUGAACACCAGAAUACAAUGGUGUAAGUAAAAUAAAAUAUGCUAGACUUAUCUGUAUUAGAUACCAAAAUAUAUAAACUGUGGUCUGAAGUAGUUUGUGAAAUUUAGUUUGAAGGUUGUUAAGUAAGAUGGUUAUAUAGUAUAUAUAUAACAUAUAUUUUUUUUAUGAAACAUGCAUUGGGUGAAAGUUGUAAAUGUUUGUGUAAUUAUUUAUCAUACAUACAAGUACCUUGGAACUCCAGAAUCAAGUAUUAACCCACUUAUCCUUUAAUAAGUUUUUGAUCCACACAAAAAAAAAAUCCUGUUUUUAUGAUUAAAUUGAUUAAAAAAAA